This 497-nucleotide ribosomal RNA is filed under the name uncultured bacterium. RNAcentral's name for it is "partial 16S ribosomal RNA". It matches the Rfam family "Bacterial small subunit ribosomal RNA", at positions 28 to 507 of the family's 1533-position model. The record is from RNAcentral.
GACGAACGCUGGCGGCGUGCCUAAUACAUGCAAGUAGAACGCUGAAGAGAGGAGCUUGCUCUUCUUGGAUGAGUUGCGAACGGGUGAGUAACGCGUAGGUAACCUGCCUUGUAGCGGGGGAUAACUAUUGGAAAUGAUAGCUAAUACCGCAUAGCAAUGGAUGACACAUGUCAUUUAUUUGAAAGGGGCAAUUGCUCCACUACAAGAUGGACCUGCGUUGUAUUAGCUAGUAGGUGAGGUAAUGGCUCACCUAGGCGACGAUACAUAGCCGACCUGAGAGGGGGAUCGGCCACACUGGGACUGAGACACGGCCCAGACUCCUACGGGAGGCAGCAGUAGGGAAUCUUCGGCAAUGGGGGCAACCCUGACCGAGCAACGCCGCGUGAGUGAAGAAGGGUUUCGGAUCGUAAAGCUCUGUUGUAAGUCAAGAACGGGUGUGAGAGUGGAAAGUUCACACUGUGACGGUAGCUUACCAGAAAGGGACGGCUAACUACGUG